AUCGGGGCUUCAAAAAAUGGCAACAAUGCAAAUGGAUGCCUCAUUCUUGGCUAUAUCAACCGAGAAGCUACCCACCAAACAGCACUCGACUACCACAUUAUGCCAUGUCAUGGUGGUAGUUAGAUCUUCAAGGAUUAUCAGACUCCAAGAUUGGUCGAUGAGAACAACAGAAGGAAUUGACCCUCCCAAUUACCAGAUCUUGAAGUUCAUCCAUAACCUGACCACAAGAAAAUCCUAUUUGUUAGGCAUUUUGGUGCCCUAUUUUAUGUUUAUGCAAAUCGUCAGAAAAAAUAUAUAACACAGGAAAACGAACGCCUAUGUGUCUUGAACAGUCGCAUAUUAUAACUGAACGAAUGAAAUAAACACGGGCAGUAGUCAUGUUUGAUGUUAUAUAUGAUGCUGAAAGAUAAGUCUGUUACCCUGAUUUUAUUAAAUUAAGGCGGCAAUUGGUGUGAUGUUACUAGUCUUAGAUACAUUGAAAUUUAGAACUAUGCGAUAAGAAAAAUGAUGGCACUAAAAUAGUGUACAACAUCACAAAAAUUAGAUUACGUAACUUAUUAUCUACAAAUUUCAGGUUCUAUCAACAAUUUCAUUUAUGAACCUAUUAAAAAUAAAUAAAAAAAUCCAUUUGAACUAUUUUACCCCUUGAAGGAAGACACAUGUUCAUCAUACGACCUCUCUCUUUUAUAUGUAUAAUUAAUUUCAUGCAUGAGUUUUCAAAAAGAGUCCCUAGAAAUUUCAAGAAAUUGAGAAAACUAGAUAAAAGAGUUUAUACAUGAUUUGAAACAAUUAAUACAAGUUGUACUAAUAAAGAAAAUCAACAAGGACAGAACAAAAUAUAAAAAUCAUAAAAAUAUAAACCACAAGCUUAAAGAUUCAUUGGGACAGAAAAUAUAAAAUAAUUAAAAUAGAAAAUCAAAAAGAUAAUAAUUAAUGAAUAAACACUGCAACUUCAAUAAAUUUCAAAAACUGAGAAAAACCAUAAAAUGAGUUUUAUCAAAGAUUCAGAUUAUAUAGAUUGAACUAAUACAUAAUAUCAGCAAUGACAGAACAAAUGCUAAAAAUCAUCAAGGAAUGGUACACAAAUAAGCUUCUUUCUUGUAAGAUGGAUUCGUAUGUUCCUGGAUAGCAUACCUGCAAUUGCAUGUGGACAUGGAAUACCACUAAGUUACCAUUUGCUACAAUCACAUUCAUAUUUCAUUAGGUCCAUACUCCAUCAAAGACUAUCACCAUUACUGACUUCAAAAUUCUCAUGACUUACAUAAAUAGCUUCAUAUAUCUUACAUUUGCUUUAACCUUCUCAAUAAUACUCACAAUUUUUGGUUUGUAAUCAUGAUCCUACAUUUCAGUUGAUUCCCUUUUAGCAUUCAUUCUGAUCAUUUGUUGAUGUCUAAUCUUCUCAAGCAUUAUGAUUAUAGGCUUCUCUCUAGCAACCACUAUAGAAGAAUCGAAUGCCUUAGACAAAUUAUUUACACCUUGAAUGUUCCUGAGAAUGUGAUCUUGUCCAUUGUUAGGUUGGUUUUUCAUUUAACCACUUGAAGGCUCUCAUUCAUUGUUUUCUUCCAAAAUAGGUUUUAAGAGUCAACCCUUUGUACUUCAAGGUGAAGUUGAUGUACAAAAUUGGUUAAAGAUUCAACCAAACCCUUCUACUUGUUAGAAAUGAAUGUUAUACAUCCCUAAGUCAAACAACAACUGCUCACUCCAACUGAAAUUUUUUUAACAUAUACAAUAGCCCAAUCUAUUGGGAAUAUGCAAUUAUCUCCAUCAAUUCCAACUCUUGCCAACAGCUGCCUCCUAUAUGCACUUUUAGGAAACAAUCGUUCAACCUUAUUACAGGCUUAUAUCCAGCCUAGAAGCACUCCUUGCAUGCCACAAAUAGAUGUAAUCUCUUUUAAAGUUAGACCCUUCUCCCUUAAUCUGAAUUGUACUACCAAGACUUGUCCUCUUCAUUCUCCUCAUCAUAAUCCCAUACUACUCAUCAACAGUCAUAGUGACCACCUCUACACAUUUUUCACUAGUCCUGUAAGAUUGAUGUUUUGAAAUCUCAUACAUACAAUCAUCUUUAACAAUUUCUACAAAGCUAUUCAGUGACAAUUUAGAAUUUGACCUGAACUUACGUAUAUAUUUUGGCCAAGUAAAAAGCUUGUACUCCACUAAUCUACCAAACCGUAGUGCAUGUAUGUUCAUCUCCAGAAGUGUUUGUUCCUAUUCUUUUAACUGGCUGCCGGUAAGCAUACAAUUCUCGUGGAUAUGUUUUCGAUAUCUUACUCUCACCAUUUUUUUCUCAUUUUUCACAUACUUCACUUGCGUAGCAUUCUUGACUCAAUAUUGCACAAUUGCACUACUCAAAUUCCUGAUAUUUUCAAGCUUCAUGACUGUAAAAGAGAAAUGAUUAGAAAUUCUCUUAACAAAUGAAAGUAAUUAAUUCCAAGUUAAAUUACAUUACCAAUUUUAAAUUUCGGGUCCUCCAAGCCUAUUGCAAAAUUAAACCAACUCCUUCUCUAUUGGAUGAGGAAGCUUCAUCUAUAUUAUCACUUGGAAAGCUUCUAAGUUUAUCUUACACCCCGUAAUCAGCUCUAGCAUUUUCUUCACUAUAUGCUUGAGGAUCUUGUUCAUUGCUUACAUUAUCCACUCCAAAUUCCCCAAUCAACUUGAAAUAUGUGCUAUCAUCAUGAUUAUCAAUUUGUUCUUCUUCCUGAUCCUAUUGAUAAUAAAAAAAUAAAAGAUAAAAAAUUCUCUAAUACACCUUCCUCAAUCAUUAUAUUUUCUACAUCAAGGAAGAUAUUUGUUUCUACAACUGCUCUAUGAACAUGUGCCUAAGUACUAUCUAUGUAGUGGUCCUCAGAUGUUGGAUCUUCUGCUGCAUUUGUAUCCUCAACAGGUGCCUCUGUUAACACUACAGUCUCACCAAUCUGAGCCUCAUCAGAUCGUCUCCCUGUUCCUGAAUUUUUUUUAUGAACUUCUACCUCAAUUUCCCCAAUAUUUUCAUCAAUUACCUCAAUUUUCCACUAUCUUUGUCUUCAAAAUGUGUCUCAUUCUCCCUCAAACUCUGCUCCUCAACUUCUGUCUCAUUCUCACCCAAAUUUUGGUCCUCAACAUGUGUUAUUUCCUUCACCAAAUUCUGCUCCUCAACCUGUGUCUCAUUCUAUCCCAAAUUUAGCUCCACAACAUGUAUCUCUUCCAUUGCAUGGUUUGGUUCAUCAAUAAAUUUUGGAUGUUUCUCCUAUUUAUACCUCUUCAACUCCGAUUGGUCCCCAUCCUUAUCCAUCUCAUCAACAAGUUCAUUUACAUCAUUUUCUUGCUUUAAAGUAAUUUGUUCAUCAACUUUAUCUUCUCCUUCCAUUCCUUCAUGUACAAUCCCAGCUUCAUCAACAAUGUAAAUAUCAUAACCUUCUAAUGAUUCAUCCAAAAAAAGAACUCAACAACAUAGCAUGCUUUCUGAGAUAUUUCAUUUUGAUGACUUUUCUCAACCUUUGAUUCAACACUUUCAUUCACAUUCUCCAAAAAAUAUCAAUAAGUUUAGAUGGUGAUCAUACUGUGGAAAUUCCAAAUCUUCUACUACCGACAAUUAAUACUAAUCAACAAUCACUUUUCUACCAAGUAACUUAACUAGAUUUAUAAAAUCUGCACCAGUUACUAGCCAAAAGAAUGCCUUACUCAAUCUUGAUAGCUGAUUGUUACAGUGUACAUAAUUUUGCAUUGUGGAAAAUAAGAAACCACCAUGAUGUAGCCAUAUGGUGAAGAAAUAUGUGGAAUACAAGAAAAAUAAAACAAAACAAAAAACCAACUGCAAUCAGAAUAAGUAGAUUCCAGACAAUAACCAUAAGUAUAAACUCAUUCUUUUUGAAUGUCGACAUGAUAGGAAAAUUGCUAAACCCUAGCACAUUCAGUUGUGAUAAAUAGGUAGAAAAGUUCGACUGCAAAAUGCAGGUAAAAGAAUUAAUUGAAAGCAUCCAAACAUAUGCGGUGCUCACAAAGAUUCAACAUUUUUAUAUAAGUUUGCUCAAGAAACAGAAUAAACCAUAACUAAAACCUCUAGAAAACUAACCAUAUUCGAUUUCGGGCAGGGAUCCUCUAAGAUGACAAGCAAUAUCUGUAUGAUUUUCACUUGAUUCGUUUCGUGGGUUUCUUGUGACUUCAUUGUGGAAAAGAUGGUGGUUUACUGUGUUCUUUCAAGUUCUAGAAUGUGAUACGUAAAGGUACAAGUCCG
This 4210-nucleotide long non-coding RNA is filed under the name Olea europaea (common olive). Its description in RNAcentral is "long non-coding RNA (OEUR_LNC001250)". The record is from RNAcentral. Lineage: Eukaryota; Viridiplantae; Streptophyta; Magnoliopsida; Lamiales; Oleaceae.